This 1626-nucleotide ribosomal RNA is filed under the name Triticum aestivum (bread wheat). RNAcentral's name for it is "partial small subunit ribosomal RNA". The record is from RNAcentral. Lineage: Eukaryota; Viridiplantae; Streptophyta; Magnoliopsida; Poales; Poaceae.
AUGCACAUUGAAUCGUUUUUCAGCGUCCAAGCCCAAAAAAACCUCAACAAAGCCCACGGAACGCGGCCGAACAGGACAGCCAGUCCGCCGCCCAUGUUGCGCACGGCGAUCCCCGCGGCGGCGCGGCGGCGCAUCUCCUUUGCCCCGGCAAGAUUCGCGCACGAGCUUGCGCAGGCGCAGGCGCAGGUCCAGUCGGCCGUCCCUGGACGGGACGGCCUUGAGCCGUCGUGGGUCCCGCUGUACAGGAGGAUCUCGAAGCUGUCCCAUGGCAGGCAGCCGGGAAUGGCGGCGGCGGAGAUGACCAAAUAUCUCCGCGAGAGGCGCCCGCUCUCGGAGUACCAGAUCGUCGCCUACAUCCGGAAGCUCCGCAAGUUCAAGCGUCACGCGUGCGCGCUCGAGUUGAUGGAUUGGAUGGAAGCUCGUGGAGCAAAGUUGACGCAUGGGCAUCAAGCGCUGCGGCUUGACCUUGUUUCAAAAGUUCACGGGAUACAGGCAGCUGAAGAAUAUUUCUGGAGCCUUCCAGAUAUAUUGAAGUCAAGGAAAGCUUAUUCAAGUUUGCUUAACUGCUAUGGUGAACACGGGAUGGCAUUUAAAGGUCUGAAAUUCUAUGAGAAGAUGAAAGCCAAGAACAUUGUUCCAAAUACACUGGUGUACAACAGCCUGAUGGUUUUGUACAAAAAGGCGGGCCAGCCAGAGAAAAUCCCCUCCACAUUUGAAGAAAUGCGAGAAAGCGGUAUAACUGCUAACAGUUUUACAUACUUCUCAUUGGUAGAAAGCUAUGUUACAAUGAAUGACCUGGAGGCUGCGGAGAAAGUCCUGGAAGAAUUGCAGAAGGUGGCUCCAGUUCACUGGUCCCUAUAUACUCUAAUGGCAAACAGUUACAUUAAACUAGAGCUGUGUGGAAAGGCAGAAGUUGCCCUAAAGAAAGCCGAGGAAGUUAUGAACAAAGAUGAAUUAUCCUCAUGGUAUUUCCUCCUCUCCAUCUAUGCCCGCUGUGGAAAUGCAACCGAGGUUAAGAGGAUCUGGGAGUCUUUGAAGUCCACAUUCAAGAAAUGUUUGAACAGAAGCUAUCUUGUGAUGCUUCAAGCUCUGAGUACUAAUGAUGACUUUGAGUCUUUACAGCAAAUCUUUCAGGAGUGGGAAUCGAGUCAUGAACAAUAUGACAUGAGGAUAACAAAUGUUAUGAUCAAAGCUUACCUUGAUAAGGGUAUGAUAGACGAAGCUGAGGCUAUCCGUCAGAGGGCCAUGGCUAAGGGUCGUUGUGAUGACAGGACGAUUUACAUAUUUGCCGAAUUCUAUUUGGAAAAAUCUAAUGUUACCGUGGCACUGGAGAUCUUGAGAGAUGCAAAGAAGAUGGUGACGGCACACAAAUGGGUGCCAUCCAAAAAGCUUACAAGCAGAUUUCUGAAGCACUAUGAAGAGUCAAAGGAUGUUGACCGUGUGGAGUCUUUCUGUGAGUGCCUGAGGAAGCUCGAAUGCCUUGAUGCAGAAGCUUAUGAGGGCAUGAUGCGGACCUAUAUAGCUGCAGGUAAAACCAACCCAUCCAUUGCUCAGCGCAUCGAAGAUGAUGGGAUUCACGUUGGACCUGAGACUACGAAAUUGCUGGAGCGUGUCUCCGGCAAUUGA